RNAcentral lists this long non-coding RNA (6195 nucleotides) under Medicago truncatula (barrel medic). Its description in RNAcentral is "long non-coding RNA (MTRU_LNC008462)". Lineage: Eukaryota; Viridiplantae; Streptophyta; Magnoliopsida; Fabales; Fabaceae. The record is from RNAcentral.
UUUGAACAAAAUGUGACUUUUGUGUUCAUCUAUUUUUUGCGUAUCAAUAAAAUAGAUAAACUUAUCUUGCCUUAAUGCUACGUUUUUCAUAAAUCAGGAAUUAAAUAGUUUAGGGAGUAGGGACCGGGGAGGCUAACCCAUUCAAGAGGUUGGUGUGUACCACCACAAACCUUGGUGAGGGCUUACAGCAAUGUUCACAAAUUGCCAAACAUGACAGUUUGAGUUGAACUUAAGCUUUUCAAUAGAUGUGGUUUGACCCUGACUUGAGGGAGUGUCUUUCCUACUUUUCCGUUUUUACGAGAUUAAUUUUGAUCUUACGUUACAAUGUUUAAUGAAGAGAAGGGAAAAGUUGUAUUUUCUAAAGCCAAUUGAAUCUUUCAUUUGUUAUAGAUCUGUGGUCUGUGAUAGUUCUUUCCAUGGUCUGCAAAUAAAUAUAUUGGUAAUUAUGGCUUUCUGAAAUGGAAAAGAUCUAAUAAUUUGUUUCUUUUGUUGUUGUAUAGUAUAUUAGGCCUGGUGCGACAACAAUACCCGGAGCUCCUGGUGCUGCUCAAGGAGGUCCUCCUGGUCAGAUUCGUCCACUUGCUAACAUGAUUGGUCGGGGUAGAGGAGAUUGGAGACCACCUGGAAUAAAAGGGGCUAUUGGUAUGCAAAAAGGUUUUCAUACAGGUCCUGGACAACCUAGUUGGGGAAACAAUGCUGCAGGGCGGGGUUUUGGUGGUGGAUUGGAAUUCACUCUUCCUUCUCACAAGUAAUAUUUUUGUGAACCUAUAUGUUAUUGUUUUUCUUUCUUUAGCUGUAUUAAGACACUAGGUUCCAAGUGACUGUUAUUAGUUAUUAAUGUAUGUUCAGAUUAGGUUAUGCUGGGUAAAUAGUCGCCAUUUUGGCAGCUUCCUAAGCUACCUUCUGAACAAAGCUGUUCUUUUUCCUUCCAAACAUGGGCUUACCAUGCAAGGCAUUUUCGAAAUGGUACAGUAGCAAUACAAUAUAUUGUUUCAAAUCCUAAAAUAUCAUUAAUGAAUAGAAAGAGGUCAGCUCCUGUAUGUUUAUUGUUUUGGGUUGAUUUUGAUAAGUAUCUAAGCACUUGGGAAAUGCUGUCUUAAAAGCUAGCUAUCAAGGGGGAAGAACCGAGCCACUUAAAUACGCCACUAAGCAUCCCAUAUUACUCGAUGUGGGACUUAGGCACCCCAUAAUACCCAAGUUCCUAUCACAGCACCGCCCCUGAGAGCUGAUGUCCUGGUGACUUCUGAGAUUCUGGCAACUAGCUCUAAUACCAAUUUGAUAGAUAUCUAAACCCUUAGAGACCCUCAUGAUAGAUAUCUAAACCUUUAGGGAACCCUCAUUUAAAAGCUAGCUAUCAAAGGGAAUAAAAUAAUGAAGUUGAUGCAAGUGGUAGCCUAACAACUCCUCCCAAUGAUAUUAAUUAUUGAUCUAUUACCACUAAUUCCAUUGAUAUGCACUUAUUUGUCUUGUUGAUUUAUCUCCCUGAUUAUAUACAACUAAAACUGCACACUCCUAUAUUUCAAUAACGCAGCCGUGUGCUUUCUUUUGGCUAAUAAUUUUUUCUGACAAAUAGCUUGCUGAUUAAUGAACAAUUUUUGAUGUUUGAAGCUUGGAUUACAUAUGCAAAUCUUGUAGUUAGAGUUUUGUUACAAAUGCACAUCUGAUGUUGUGCAGGAUGCUUUUAUUUCCAUUGUUUUGAUGUUUCUGUUGACGUAUACCUAAAUCUCAGUUAUGUCACCUGGUUGGUGCUAAUAUAAACUACCAUUUGUUUUCAGGACUAUAUUUGAUGUCGAUAUUGAGAGUUUUGAGGAGAAAUUGUGGAAAUAUCCAAAUGUUGAUGCAUCAGAUUUUUUCAACUUUGGUUUGAAUGAAGAGACCUGGAAAGAUUAUUGUAAACAGCUGGUAAAAUUAUUAAGUUACUUUCUAUAUUUUCCACAAGUUUAGUGUUGACUGAUCAAACUCUUGUAUGUGACUUUUUAGGAGCAACUACGCCUGGAGUCUACAAUGCAAAGCAAGAUCCGUGUUUACGAGAGUGGUCGAACAGAGCACGUAGAAGAUCUAUUUUCAUUUUUAAUUAGUUCCUUAUUUUACUGAGCUGUUUUGGGGCAACCAUUUUUUCUGUUAAAUUAAUCAUCUAUUUAAUUUCGCUCCAGGAUUAUGAUCCAGAUUUGCCCCCUGAAUUGGCUGCAGCUACUGGUUUACACGACGGUGCUGUUGAAAAUGCAAAUUCUGUAAAAUCCGAUGUGGGACAAAGUGAUGUUAUGAAAGGUUCUGGACGCAUGCGACCGCCGAUGGUAUGCAUUUGUCAAAAUGCUUUGUUAAUUUCUGUAAAAAAAUCUGUUUGCUUCUUGGCCUGCUUGCUUCUGGUCAAUAUUCUAAUAUAAUAACAUGUGUGGUAAAUAUUUUGCCUUCCUCUAUUUCUGUCUCCAUACUCAUAAAUUUAUUUUCUACAGCCAACUGGUAGAGCAAUACAGGUGGAAGGUGGCUAUGGAGAACGUCUUCCUACCAUUGAUACCCGUCCUCCUCGAUUGCGUGAUUCAGAUGCAAUAAUUGAGGUAUUUGAUGAUUUUUUCACAAAAAGCUUAUGGGAUAAUGAAAUAAACCUUUUUAUGGUUACAUCCUGCAUAUACAAUGUAUAUAUGACAAUAUUUUUUGUGAACAGAUUGUUUUACAGGGUGCCGAAGAUGAUGAUUCCUCUGUGGGAAUAGGUGUCCAAGAUCAAUCAGAGGAUGGAGAACCCCAGAGAGAGAGUUUUAGAGAAGACGUUGAAGCUGGAGAUGAACCAAGUUUGGAGCCUGAGUAUUCUGAUGGUAUUCCACAGGAUUAUAACCGACGAAAGAAAGAGCAUGCAGGAAGAAAAAUGCCAUUUGCGACUUCUGUUUCUUCUAAUGUAGCUAAUGAAGAUGAAAGCUUGUUCGUCUCACAGGAUGAGCCAAUUGAAUACUCUGGUUCAAGGGGCCAAAAUCCCAGGUCUUAUGGUGGCAAUUCCAGCUCUUCUCAAGAGGAAAGGUAUUGAACAGUCUAUAUUCCCUAAAAGAGGAAUUUUAUCCUCUAUCUGUAUGCUUCUGUUUUCAUCUCUGCCGUGAUUUAUUGUUCUAUCAUUUUUGUUGCAUUUGAUACUGAUAGGCAUAGAGAUAUCAGCAAAUGUGGCAAGUCUAAAAUCCUAAGACAUGUAUCCUCAGACAUGUAUUCAACUGUGGGUCUUUGCAGCAAAUAAAGUUUGUAUUCCCAUGCAGCAUGAACUAGCUAAUAUAUAUAUAUAUAUAUUAACUUGAUUGUGAGCGAGGUUAAGCUACAUUGAUGUGCUUGAAUUAAUUUAGGAUGUCACUCAACAGUCAAAUGAGUUAUUGGAGAAGCAAAUUUUGAGCUUAAUUUAAAUCAUAUUGAAGAUAUAUUCACUUGAGAAAGGAAGUGCUACGAUUAAGAUAAAGAUUUAAUAUUGUACUCCCUCCGUCCUAAAUUGUAUGACGUUUUGGCCAUUUCACACGUAUUAAGAAAUGUAAUUAAUAUUGUGUGGGGAAGAGAAAUUAUGAGUUGUAUUACAAAAUUAUCCCUAAUAAAUGGUAUGGAAAAAAUAAAUGAAAUAAUUGAAAGAAGAGUGAGUAAUUAAUAGUUAAGGAUAUAAUAGGAAAAGUAACAUUAAUAUUUCAUUGGUAUUGUAAAGCGACAUAUAAUUUGGGACAAAUUUUUUUUCCAAAGCGACAUACAAUUUGGGACGGAGGGAGUAUAACCAGUGAGAAGUCAACAGUGCAUUAAAAAGGCUACGAUUAAGAUAAAGAUUUAAUAUUUUAUAACCAGUGAGAAGUCAACAGUGCAUUAAAAAGCUGUUCUUCUGGAAUCAAACUUAGAGAUAAAAAGAAUUGCUAGUUACUUAAAUACAAUUUUUUUUUGCAUUUAGGACUUUUUUUUUUCAUGUGUACAUUAUUGUGUUGUUUUUUUUCGAAUGCUCAUUGUUUCAACAUAGUUAUUUUUAUUGCAUUUUCAUCCAUCAUUUUUGUUAAUCAUCUAUAAUUAAUUAAUAGCAUCUUUGCUUUUGUAUUUACAGGAAAAUGCAAAAAACAGUGCGUAGUCAAUCUCCUAUUAGUCCUAUCCGAAAACUGAAUACAGAUGACAAUAAAAAAGAAGAUUCAGUUGAAAGCAUGGAAGUCAAAGAUACCACACUUUCGUCUUCUCCUGUCAUUGAGGAUGUAAAACAGUCCAGUUUGGAGGACAAAGAUGGCGAGCUUGAGGAUACUGGGACCGCUGAUGGAAGUCCUAGAUUGGGAAAGAAAGAAACCGAUUUAAAUGCAGUAGACAAGGUUGAUGUCCUCAAGGAUGGGAUAGAUAAGAAACAGAAUUUGACAUCUCAAGUUGAGCAACCUUUGCUCGAUGAAAGUGAUGAUUGGGAGGACAUAAAAGCUGCCAGAAGCAGCGAUAACAGCAAAGCAAGAUCAGCAAGCAGCAGAGAUAAUCAGAAGCGACGAGAGGGUCUUGAUGAAGAAGUAGUCCAGGAUCCACGAUCAACACGUCUGGCUAGCAUCAGACAACACCCUGAUGAAAAUGAGCAGGGAUUCUAUAGAAAAGAGCAUGAUGGAAAGCAAGAUCCCGAAAGAAAUCACAUGGUACUUAGAGGUAGAGAGGGAUCAUACCCUUACAAGGACCGGCAUCGUAGCUUGGCCCAUCAAUUGCAUACAAAUACUGACGGAUUUGAUAGGCAAAAAGAUAGGGACAGUUCUGACAUGGAUUGGGCAAGGAGAGAUGAUGAUGUCUAUAACAGAAAGGUUAGAACUAAUGAACCUAGAAAGAGGGAUAGGGCUAAGCUUCGAGAAAAUGAGAGAAACGACAAAGAAGAUAGCUUUCACUCUAGAAAGCAGUUGGAUAAUGGUAGCUACAGGAUUCCUUAUGAAAAGGAUGUUGGUUCACGAGACUCAAGACACAGGGAAAGAGAUGAGGGCGUGAGGGUUAGGUACGAAGCUGUGGAGGAUUACCAUAUCAAGAGGAGAAAGGACGAGGAGUAUCUUAGGAGGGAACAUAUGGACAAAGAAGAAAUUCCACAUGGCUACAGAGAAAAUGCUAGUCGGCGUAGACGAGAAAGAGAUGAGGUACAAAGAAGUAGAGAUUACCCUGAUGAUCAGUACACCAAUAGGCAGAAAGAUGAUGCCUGGCUAAUGCAGGAGAGGGGCGAUAGGCAAAGAGAUAGGGAGGAGUGGCAUCGGUUGAAACUGUCCCAUGAUGGACCCCUACCCAAGCGUGAAAGAGAAGAAGGAAGGAGUUCUGGAAGAAAUGUACGAGGGGCUGAAGAAAAAGCAUGGGUUGGCCGUGUUAGUGCUAAAGAUGAACAUAAACUUUCUGAGAAAGAUUACCAAUCUAGGGAAUCAGUUCGACACAAUGACCAACUAAAGAGAAGGGAUCGGAUUCCAGAAGAAAGUUCACAUCAUAAGGGGCGGGAUGAUGCUUAUUCCCGUGGAAAUCAAUAUACUGCUGAAGAAAGGCGAUCUAGGCAGGAAAGGUCAAGUAGUCGUAGUGAUCGUGUUGCUAAUGCUUCAGAUAACCAAAGACUUCACGAGAGGAAACACAAAGAGGGCUCAAGGAAAAGCAAAGAGCGUGAUAUUAGUGACCUCAAUAGUUUAGGUCUGUCCAAGAAAAGUCUAGAAAAUCCAAAUGGUCCAUCGAAUGAGAAGGUAUGCAUUACGGUAGCAUGUAAAAUCUGAAAACUCUAGCUGGAGAAUUAAAUACUUGAUGAAAAUAAGCAUUAUUGAUAUGUGCUUCCUAGAAUCAAAAUUGGGCUGGGAGUUAUGGUGAGCUGGCAAUUUAGUUGCUGUUAUUAUUUGACUUGUUGUUUCAGGCCACAUAAUACAUGGAAAGGAAGGCUUGAUUGUGAUCAAUUAACUAGCUUUAAAUUUCCAUUAAUGCUGCUCACCUAACUUCAUGGGGGGAGUAAGAAAUUAGAAGACAUGCCCUUUUGAGGCAUGGUUUUGAAACAAAAUGUGAUGAGGAUAAAUCUAGCACUGUUAAUAAGAAUUUUUAACAUCUGCAUUAUGGUAGUUAUUCUCAAGUAUAUUGAUUGUGUAUGAAGUAAUGCUAGCAACACUCAUUCUAACACACUCUUUUUAACACUCACUCUCUUGUUGAGUGAAACACACAUGGAUCACAUCACUUUGUGGGACCCAUUCUCAAAGUGGCGUGACUUGCAUGUAUUUCACCCAAUAAGAAAGU